RNAcentral lists this small nucleolar RNA (82 nucleotides) under Prunus persica (peach). Its description in RNAcentral is "snoRNA snoR160". It matches the Rfam family "Small nucleolar RNA R160". Rfam says of the family: snoR160 is a C/D box small nucleolar RNA, which acts as a methylation guide for 25S ribosomal RNA in plants. snoR160 has been alternatively named snoZ270 in rice. Lineage: Eukaryota; Viridiplantae; Streptophyta; Magnoliopsida; Rosales; Rosaceae. The record is from Rfam by way of RNAcentral.
AGCAAAAUGAUGAAACUAGAAUUUUUGAUAUCUGAAUUUGAUGUAGAACCUCAAAUCAUGCCUUCAAAGUUCUCUGAUUGCU